AGGAAGAGUCUACAGUCCAUGUAGGCCGCAUGUUGAAAGAAAAUCACUGUCUUGUUGCACUACACAUGUGUAAGCAUGAUAUAAAAAACAGUGGUAUACAACAGUUAUGUGAUGCACUGUAUCUGAACAGUAGCCUGCGCUACCUUGAUGUCAGCUGAAUAGAAAAUGCAGGCGCAAACUAUCUCAGUGAAACUCUUACUUCACACAACAGGAGUCUUAAAGCGUUGUCAGUAGUCAGCAACAACAUAGAGGGAGAAGGACUUGUUGCACUUUCACAAUCAAUGAAAACAAAUCUCACUUUCUCUCAUAUCUACAUUUGGGGAAACAAAUUUGAUGAGGCUACGUGUAUAGCAUAUUCAGACUUAAUUCAAAUGGGUUGUCUAAAACCAGACAAUACAGAUGUGGAGCCAUUUGUGGUAGAUGGACGUGUAUAUCUUGCAGAAGUCUCCAAUGGCCUUAAAAAGCAUUAUUAUUGGACAUCAACUUAUGGAGAAUCUUAUGACCACUCAUCUAAUGCAGGUUUUGCUCUUGUUCCAGUAGGUCAACAGCCAUGAAAAAGUAGCUGUAAAAUAAUUUUCAUACACUUGUCUUAUUGUUUCACAGAGAUUAAUAUUCUAUAGCCUAUUUUCUUUUAUAAAUUAAAACAAGUUACUUUUUUCAAAUGUGUAAAAGAUAAUGACUGUAUUAAACUUUGUAUAACU
This 701-nucleotide long non-coding RNA is filed under the name Homo sapiens (human). Its description in RNAcentral is "non-protein coding lnc-ACTRT3-4:3". The record is from RNAcentral. Lineage: Eukaryota; Metazoa; Chordata; Mammalia; Primates; Hominidae.